Molecule: long non-coding RNA, 370 nt
Filed under: Gallus gallus (chicken)
Lineage: Eukaryota; Metazoa; Chordata; Aves; Galliformes; Phasianidae
Source: RNAcentral
CCUGGGGGUGCAGGCAGGCGUGUGCUACCUUGAUCACAUAGUCCAGCUUCCUGGGCUGCUCCUCCACUUUGGCUGCCAGGAACAGCGCUGCCGGAGCCACCGAAUUGCGGUGGAACUGAGUGAAGGACUGCACCAUGUAGAAGCGAUGCAUGUACACGAUGGCGGUGUUGAUGGUGAGCUGGGAGACGUUGAGGCGCUGCCCCAUGUCCUGCAGCAGGUUGGCGGCCUGCUGCCGGUACGAGAGCUCCUUGUCGGGAUCCAGGCCGGCUCGCCGCGAGGGGCUGCGGUCCAACUGCUCGCGGGUGAAAUACCACCGCCGCGCCGCCCCGCCGCCCGCCGAGGCCUCCAUGGCGAUCCGCGCCCGCGCGCG